RNAcentral lists this ribosomal RNA (227 nucleotides) under uncultured bacterium. RNAcentral describes it as "partial 16S ribosomal RNA". It matches the Rfam family "Bacterial small subunit ribosomal RNA", at positions 112 to 334 of the family's 1533-position model. The record is from RNAcentral.
CGGACGUAGGUAACCUGCCUGGUAGCGGGGGAUAACUAUUGGAAACGAUAGCUAAUACCGCAUAAGAGUAGAUGUUGCAUGACAUUUACUUAAAAGGUGCAAUUGCAUCACUACCAGAUGGACCUGCGUUAUAUUAGCUAGUUGGUGGGGUAACGGCUCACCAAGGCGACGAUACAUAGCCGACCUGAGAGGGUGAUCGGCCACACUGGGACUGAGACACGGCCCAG